Salvia splendens (bonfire salvia) is the source of this 102-nucleotide small nuclear RNA. The record is from RefSeq and is a predicted model, not a curated record. Lineage: Eukaryota; Viridiplantae; Streptophyta; Magnoliopsida; Lamiales; Lamiaceae.
CAUCCAUUCGGGCCAUCCGAUAAAUUAGAACGAUACAAAGAAGAUUAGCAUGAUCCCGACUCAAGGAUGACACGCAUAAAUCAAGAAAAAAUACUUUACUAU